GGUGAACCUAGGGGAGACCACUGAGAACUUUUCUUAACUCCAGGAAUAACUACUCCUUACCAACCUGCCCUUAAAACUUCUAGAAGAAGUCCACAUGUAUACUUGUAUUUGGGACCUCUGGAGUGGUGGUGCACGCCUUUAAUGUCCCCACUGGGGAAGCAGGAGCAGGAGAAUCCGAGUUCGAGGCCAGCCUGGUCUACAGAGUGAGUUCCCGGGCAGCCAGGACUACACAGAGAAACCCUGUCUCGAGGGGAAAAAAAAAGAUAUUCUACUGGUAA
RNAcentral lists this long non-coding RNA (278 nucleotides) under Cricetulus griseus (Chinese hamster). RNAcentral's name for it is "lncRNA (ENSCGRG00015029071.1)". The record is from RNAcentral. Lineage: Eukaryota; Metazoa; Chordata; Mammalia; Rodentia; Cricetidae.